RNAcentral lists this ribosomal RNA (440 nucleotides) under uncultured bacterium. Its description in RNAcentral is "partial 16S ribosomal RNA". It matches the Rfam family "Bacterial small subunit ribosomal RNA", at positions 338 to 795 of the family's 1533-position model. The record is from RNAcentral.
CCUACGGGAGGCAGCAGUGGGGGAUAUUGCACAAUGGGGGGAACCCUGAUGCAGCGACGCCGCGUGGGUGAAGAAGCGCCUCGGCGCGUAAAGCCCUGUCAGCAGGGAAGAAAAUGACGGUACCUGAAGAAGAAGCCCCGGCUAACUACGUGCCAGCAGCCGCGGUAAUACGUCGGGGGCAAGCGUUCUCCGGAUUUACUGGGUGUAAAGGGGGCGCAGACGGCGAUGCAAGCCAGGAGUGAAAGCCCGGGGCUCAACCCCGGGACUGCUCUUGGAACUGCGUGGCUGGAGUGCAGGAGGGGCAGGCGGAAUUCCUGGUGUAGCGGUGAAAUGCGUAGAUAUCAGGAGGAACACCGGUGGCGAAGGCGGCAUGCUGGACUGCAACUGACGUUGAGGCCCGAAAGCGUGGGGAGCAAACAGGAUUAGAUACCCCUGUAGUC